Molecule: transfer RNA, 69 nt
Filed under: Rhineura floridana
Lineage: Eukaryota; Metazoa; Chordata; Lepidosauria; Squamata; Rhineuridae
Description: tRNA-Ile
Source: RNAcentral
GGAAGUGUGCCUGAACAAUAGGACUACUUUGAUAGAGUAGAAUAUAGGGACUUAGCCCCCUCACUUCCG